UCCCUGAUGGUCCAGUGGGUAAGAAUCUGCAUUGCAAUUCAGAGGACAUGGGUUCGAUUCCUGGUCAGGGAA
Molecule: transfer RNA, 72 nt
Filed under: Ovis aries (sheep)
Lineage: Eukaryota; Metazoa; Chordata; Mammalia; Artiodactyla; Bovidae
Rfam family: tRNA
About the family: Transfer RNA (tRNA) molecules are approximately 80 nucleotides in length. Their secondary structure includes four short double-helical elements and three loops (D, anti-codon, and T loops).
Source: Rfam by way of RNAcentral